Molecule: ribosomal RNA, 407 nt
Filed under: uncultured bacterium
Lineage: Bacteria
Description: partial 16S ribosomal RNA
Rfam family: Bacterial small subunit ribosomal RNA
Source: RNAcentral
GACGAACGCUGGCGGCGUGCCUAAUACAUGCAAGUAGGACGCAGUUGCGAACGGGUGAGUAACGCGUAGGUAACUACCUAUUAGAGGGGGAUAACUAUUGGAAACGAUAGCUAAUACCGCAUACUAGUAGAUGGAACUGCGUUGUAUUAGGUAGUAGGUUGGGUAAUGGACUACCUAGGCAACGAUACAUAUCCGACUGGGGAGGGUGAUCGGCCACAAUGGGAAUGAGUGACGGCCCAGAUCCCCAAGGGAGGCAAGAGUAGGGAAUCUUCGGCAAUGGGGGGAACGCUGACCGAGCAACGCCGCGGGAGUGGAGAAGGUUUUCGGAUCGUAAAGCUCUGUUGUUAAGGAAGCGGUACUUAACCAGAAAGGGACGGCUAACUACGUGCCAGCAGCCGCGGUAAUAC